AACCUGGGAACUGCAUCUGAUACUGGCAAGCUUGAGUCUCGUAGAGGGGGGUAGAAUUCCAGGUGUAGCGGUGAAAUGCGUAGAGAUCUGGAGGAAUACCGGUGGCGAAGGCGGCCCCCUGGACGAAGACUGACGCUCAGGUGCGAAAGCGUGGGGAGCAAACAGGAUUAGAUACCCUGGUAGUCCACGCCGUAAACGAUGUCGACUUGGAGGUUGUGCCCUUGAGGCGUGGCUUCCGGAGCUAACGCGUUAAGUCGACCGCCUGGGGAGUACGGCCGCAAGGUUAAAACUCAAAUGAAUUGACGGGGGCCCGCACAAGCGGUGGAGCAUGUGGUUUAAUUCGAUGCAACGCGAAGAACCUUACCUGGUCUUGACAUCCACGGAA
This 385-nucleotide ribosomal RNA is filed under the name Escherichia coli. RNAcentral describes it as "bacterial SSU rRNA". It matches the Rfam family "Bacterial small subunit ribosomal RNA", at positions 611 to 995 of the family's 1533-position model. Lineage: Bacteria; Pseudomonadati; Pseudomonadota; Gammaproteobacteria; Enterobacterales; Enterobacteriaceae. The record is from RNAcentral.